Molecule: ribosomal RNA, 424 nt
Filed under: uncultured bacterium
Lineage: Bacteria
Description: bacterial SSU rRNA
Rfam family: Bacterial small subunit ribosomal RNA
Source: RNAcentral
GAAUAUUGGACAAUGGGCGCAAGCCUGAUCCAGCCAUACCGCGUGAGUGAAGAAGGCCUUCGGGUUGUAAAGCUCUUUUGUUGGGAAAGAAAUCCUGUUGAUUAAUACUCGACAGGGAUGACGGUACCCAAAGAAUAAGCACCGGCUAACUUCGUGCCAGCAGCCGCGGUAAUACGAAGGGUGCAAGCGUUACUCGGAAUUACUGGGCGUAAAGCGUGCGUAGGUGGUGGUUUAAGUCUGUUGUGAAAGCCCUGGGCUCAACCUGGGAAUUGCAGUGGAUACUGGAUCACUAGAGUGUGGUAGAGGGUGGCGGAAUUCCCGGUGUAGCAGUGAAAUGCGUAGAGAUCGGGAGGAACAUCCGUGGCGAAGGCGGCCACCUGGGCCAACACUGACACUGAGGCACGAAAGCGUGGGGAGCAAACAG